Molecule: ribosomal RNA, 242 nt
Filed under: uncultured bacterium
Lineage: Bacteria
Description: partial 16S ribosomal RNA
Rfam family: Bacterial small subunit ribosomal RNA
Source: RNAcentral
AAGGUCCGGGCGUUAUCCGGAUUUAUUGGGUUUAAAGGGAGCGUAGGCGGUCUCUUAAGUAAGCGGUAAAAUCGCGGGGCUCAACCCCGCCGAGCCGUUUAGACUGGGGGACUUGAGACGGUGAGAAGUACGCGGAAUGCGCGGUGUAGCGGUGAAAUGCAUAGAUAUCGCGCAGAACUCCGAUUGCGAAGGCAGCGUACCGGCGCCGGUCUGACGCUGAGGCACGAAAGCGUGGGGAUCGA